AACGAACGCUGGCGGCAGGCCUAACACAUGCCAGUCGAGCGCCCCGCAAGGGGAGCGGCGGCCGGGUGAGUAACGCGUGGGAACGUACCCUUUGCUACGGAAUAGCCUCGGGAAACUGGGAGUAAUACCGUAUGUGUCCUUCGGGAGAAAGAUUUAUCGGCAAGGGAUCGGCCCGCGUUGGAUUAGGUAGUUGGUGGGGUAAUGGCCUACCAAGCCGACGAUCCAUAGCUGGUUUGAGAGGAUGAUCAGCCACACUGGGACUGAGACACGGCCCAGACUCCUACGGGAGGCAGCAGUGGGGAAUCUUAGACAAUGGGCGCAAGCCUGAUCUAGCCAUGCCGCGUGAGCGAUGAAGGCCUUAGGGUUGUAAAGCUCUUUCAGGGGGGAAGAUGAUGACUGUACCCCCAGAAGAAGCCCCGGCUAACUCCGUG
RNAcentral lists this ribosomal RNA (431 nucleotides) under uncultured bacterium. RNAcentral's name for it is "partial 16S ribosomal RNA". It matches the Rfam family "Bacterial small subunit ribosomal RNA", at positions 29 to 507 of the family's 1533-position model. The record is from RNAcentral.